UACGGAGGGUGCGAGCGUUGUCCGGAAUCAUUGGGCGUAAAGGGUGCGUAGGUGGCCCCGGUCAGUCCGUGGUGAAAGCGCGGGCUCAACCCCGCGUCGGCCAUGGAUACUGCUGGGCUGGAGCACUGUAGAGGCAGGCGGAAUUCCGGGUGUAGCGGUGGAAUGCGUAGAGAUCCGGAAGAACACCGGUGGCGAAGGCGGCCUGCUGGGCAGUUGCUGACACUGGAGGCGCGACAGCGUGGGGAGCAAACAGG
RNAcentral lists this ribosomal RNA (254 nucleotides) under uncultured bacterium. RNAcentral describes it as "partial 16S ribosomal RNA". It matches the Rfam family "Bacterial small subunit ribosomal RNA", at positions 524 to 776 of the family's 1533-position model. The record is from RNAcentral.